GACGAACGCUGGCGGCGUGCUUAACACAUGCGAGUCGAACGGAAAGGCCCUGCUUUUGUGGGGUGCUCGAGUGGCGAACGGGUGAGUAUCACGUGAGUAACCUGCCCUUGACUUUGGGAUAACUUCAGGAAACUGGGGCUAAUACCGGAUAGGAGCUCCUGCUGCAUGGUGGGGGUUGGAAAGUUUCGGCGGUUGGGGAUGGACUCGCGGCUUAUCAGCUUGUUGGUGGGGUAGUGGCUUACCAAGGCUUUGACGGGUAGCCGGCCUGAGAGGGUGACCGGCCACAUUGGGACUGAGAUACGGCCCAGACUCCUACGGGAGGCAGCAGUGGGGAAUAUUGCACAAUGGGCGGAAGCCUGAUGCAGCAACGCCGCGUGCGGGAUGACGGCCUUCGGGUUGUAAACCGCUUUCGCCUGCGACGAAGCGUGAGUGACGGUAAUGGGUAAAGAAGCACCGGCUAACUACGUG
This 468-nucleotide ribosomal RNA is filed under the name uncultured bacterium. RNAcentral's name for it is "partial 16S ribosomal RNA". It matches the Rfam family "Bacterial small subunit ribosomal RNA", at positions 28 to 507 of the family's 1533-position model. The record is from RNAcentral.